Molecule: long non-coding RNA, 2244 nt
Filed under: Gallus gallus (chicken)
Lineage: Eukaryota; Metazoa; Chordata; Aves; Galliformes; Phasianidae
Source: RNAcentral
UUGACACAUCCUCCUAAACAAGAGAACCUGAAAGAUUUAACAAAAACAAUUUCACCACAUAAGGUGCUUUUAUUGCUGCUCUACAUUAAACUUGAGGGAAAGCCACAUUAUUUAACAAGCUACUUAAACGUACAGAACAGCUCAGAAUCCAGUCUUACUCUGACAUCACAGGUUAUCUGACUUGCAAAGCAAUUCCCAAUAUUGCUUGACUUUUUUUUAGUGCACACAAUUGAGUUCAUCUCAGAAGACAUACCAACAAUAGGAACAUUUGGGUGCCACUUACAUUGUGGGUUCCUGAAAAAUCCUUUGUGGCUUUAAUCCCACAGUACUACCUGGAAGUUUCUGAAGAUUAAACCGUAACUCAUGACGUAAAACUCCAAGAGAUUACAAUCAAUUCUGUAACAUCCCCCAUUUUUUGUAUACCAACAAUUUAAUUUAUAACACGCUAACUUAAGUUUCAGUGAAAGUUCAAGCUGGCCCUACCUAAAAAUGAAGCUAUGUUUUCUGACAGCUCUGACAUGAGCUAAAGAAUAAGGCCACUUCAACUUGGUCCUUUUUUUUUUUUUGCAUUGAAAAAAAUGAAGAUGCAUCAUCAUUUAAGUUUGAAUAUCAUAGAUUGCAUAACCAAAGAGGCAACGCUUUCUCUAAUAUCACUGUAAGCACAAAUGACCCCACAUUAGAUGUAACACAGGCAGUAAAGAUUCGUAAUACUGUACCCUGGACAACUCUCACUAGAAGGCAGACUGCUUUCUGCUGGGUUCUUUGCAAUGGAAAAUUUCUAGGGUUACAACUACAGCAGGAAGGCAUCCCAUUACACACAUUUACAAUGUGACUAGCCAGCAGGGCUGAACAGCCAUAGGUAGACUCAGAGGUUAAGCAGCAGUACAAAAAUUGUUACAAAAAAAAUGAACAAGUUGCUUGUUCAAGUACUGCUGUUUAACAUUCCAAGUCUCUUAUACAAAGAAAGUACAUUUUCAAGCUGAGCAACAAUCCUUCCAAGCUGCUUUUAUGUAUCACAUACACUAUUUAUACAUUUAACUUUGCUCUUCCCCUAGUAAAAAUAACUUAUAUUGUGCUUUUCAUGGUAUAUCUGUAUUUCACUAUCAUGUUUUCCUCCUUUGCAGAGUAUUCGGUUAUGGUGGGAGACUACAAAAUAUUUUUUUUUUAGCACUUGGUAUUAGAAUAACCAAUUAGUUUCAAUAAAAAGUGAUGCUGCCAUUAAAAAGGCAGAGGAUAAAAAAAAUUAAAGCUCUUUAUUAACUUACCUCUAAAAUCUAUAUUUUCCACAAAGGUUACAUUCUCACAGCAAUGUUAGAAGACAGUACAACAUUUGUCCGGAUCUGUUUAUUAUUGGCAUAUGCAAUUUAUUAGCCAGUUGGUCUAUAAGAUGCUCACCAUAGGCAAACUAAAUACUGUGCUUUUAGGAAAUCUGUUUCGAAAUUAUUUGAUGUUCCUUUUACUUUGAACAUAUUUACAAAAAGGAUUUUAUGUGUGUUAGCAAUAAAUAAUCCCAAUAUUCAAGAUGUCAGUGCUCAUGCACACACCGACAGGAUGGCUGCAUGCUUUAAAAAUAUUAUUUACAGUACAGUCUCCUUCACAGCCCUCUCCCUAAUAAUAGCAGAAAGUGCAUUUUCUUCCUUUCCUUUCCUGUAGGUUUAGUCUUGCUUCUGAGGGAUACAACCUUCCAUCUCAACAACUUCCGGCCAGCCUUCAUAUUUGUUUGUGUCCUUGUUGUUCUUUAUAUGCUGCUCAAAGGGACUUUUAGUUUUAAUUCCUUUUCCACCACAGAAGACCCAAUUGUCCCUAAAGCCAAGGUUAGUGAUGGAUGUGCUUCCCAGUUCAGCAAUCAGUUUCCGUGCUUCCUCAUUAAGCUUGGUUGCACCAUCAUCAUAUGUCCCCAUGAGCACAAUGGUUCCAUCCUGUAUGGAUUUAAGAAAUUCAAUAAAUGGUGCCACAUCUCCUCCCCACAUGUCAAAGAAUUUAGUGUCUAACGGUUCUCCUGUUUUACCAUUGACCAAGGCAACAUUUAUUCCUCUGCCAACAUUAUUUUUAACUCCACUCAUUAAUACAUUAUCUUCUACACAAAUUUUAGGUCCAACUACAUUUGCUGCUCCACUUGCCAUUUUGAAUGCAAAAUGCUUUUCAGGACAAGCUUUAGAGAUCCCACAUUUGUAUCUUGGAGGUUUUGUAGAGCGUGCAGCUGCAUCCAAUGCUGAUCGAGCAAAUAUGUGUCCUAAGUUUGCU